AAUCUGAUUUGGCUGAGCGCGACAGGGGUGGACUGAUCAUCUUCCUAGGUUUCCAUCCUUUUCAAUCGUUCUCAUACUCUUCCAUUGCGAGGUCCUACGAAUCGCCCCAUCCACCGCUAAUCUCGCCAGCAAGGAGAAACCCUAAAGAUUGCAUACCAAAGGUGUCGUUUUUUUUUCCUAUUUCAAGGGUGCUUCCAGCGCUUCCGGAUCUCCGGGCCACCCGAUUUGUCUCAUCUACUGCUUUGGGUUGCCUCCUCCCCCUAAUCUUCAACUCCGUGGGCUCCUUCGCCUUCCCAAGUUUUCCUUGAUUCGAGGCAUUUUCCUUUUUUCUUUUUAUCUCCGACGGCCUCGCUAAUGCUGUAGGACCCGGCGGCCAUGGGCUGCGUUGCGUCAAAGAAUGCGGUCUCGGCUACGCCGGUCGCUGAUUCCUCCGGCAUUCUAAAGAACCACCGAAAGCGGGCGGGGCCGAUCGCAGCGUCCUUACGGCGGCACCGGACAGGAGAGGGAACAGAGAACGGCCAGCCGGAGAGGGAGGAAGAAAAGAGUCGCCUUGAAUCUGGGGAAAAUGGGAAGGUGAGCUCGGAUAAUACUAACUUACAGAGCCUACGGUUGCGGAACCUUCACAAAUACAUAGAAGGGGAGCAGGUCGCCGCAGGGUGGCCCUCUUGGCUCAGUGCCGUGGCCGGGGAAGCUAUUCAGGGUUGGGUGCCUCUUAAAGCUGACUCCUUUGAGAAACUGGAGAAGGUUGGACAAGGUACUUAUAGCAGUGUGUUCAGAGCGCGUGAUCUUGACACUGGAAAGAUGGUUGCGUUGAAGAAGGUUCGCUUUGACAAUUUUGAACCGGAGAGUGUUAGGUUUAUGGCCAGAGAGAUAAAGAUACUGCGCACGCUUGACCAUCCAAAUAUUAUGAAGUUGGAAGGGUUGAUUGCUUCUCGAUUAUCAUGCAGCCUUUAUCUUGUAUUUGAAUAUAUGGAGCAUGAUCUCGCGGGACUUUCCACUUCGCCUGAUAUCGUACUCUCUGAAUCACAGGUUAAGUGUUACAUGUAUCAGUUGCUAUCUGCACUUGAGCAUUGCCAUUCGCAUGGUGUUAUACACCGGGACAUAAAAGGAGCAAAUCUUCUGGUUGAUAAUAAUGGAAUUCUGAAAAUGGCUGAUUUUGGCCUUGCAAAUUUCUGUCGCCCAGGGCGUAAGUAUCCACUAACCAGCCGCGUCGUGACUCUAUGGUAUAGGCCGCCUGAACUACUGUUGGGUUCGACUGACUAUGAAGCCACUGUAGACUUGUGGAGUGUUGGUUGUGUCUUUGCAGAAAUGUUUGUGGGAAAACCUGUUUUGCAAGGCAGAACUGAGGUUGAACAAUUACAUAAAAUAUUCAGGCUAUGCGGUUCACCACCAGAAGAAUAUUGGAAGAAGUCCAAGUUGCCUCAUGCUACAAUUUUCAAACCACAUCGUCCCUAUCAAAGCAGCCUCUAUGGGACAUUCCAAAAUCUACCAAGAACUGCUGUUAGUUUGUUAGAGACUUUUCUAUCUGUCGAACCUUAUAAGCGUGGUAGUGCGUCAAGUGCCCUUGGAUCCGAGUAUUUUAGAACAAUGCCUCUUGCUUGUGAACCCUCAAGUUUGCCAAAGUACUCACCCACUAAAGAGAUAGAUAUAAAGAAUCGAGAAGAAUCACGCAGAAGAAGAGUUGCUGGAAGACAAGAAGCCACAAGAAGACCAUUAAAAGCAGAUAGAACUUUGCAACAAUCAGGUGGCCUCAGCAAAUUAGUAGAUAGCAAAACGGAUAAACAGCAAAAUGCUGAAGCCACUGAACACAAUGAACAAAAAGAUCCCCCAAGAGUAGAUGGUGAAAGCAGACUGUUUGUAGAUCUCCAGUCAAUUCCAUCAAUUAAAAAACCAGAUGAAGGUCGUCACAUGAAGCACAACUCUGAGCAGGAUAUUGUCUUUUCAGGACCAUUACAAGUUUCUGCUUCCAAUGGUUUUUCAUGGGCAAGGAGGCAGAGAGAAGAUGAUGCACAUAAAAAAUCUCACAGUAGACGCAAUUCAAAAAGAAAUUUGUCUACUGCAAGAGAUCCAUCCGGUAUUGAAAAUGUCAAAAGUAAGAUAGAGUGCAAGGGUCUGCAAAAUGGUGAUCAUCAUGCUGGUUUCAAACUCCAUGAGUCACAGGAGUUGGUUAAAGUUGCAAUGCUGAAAAGGUGGGCGCAACUUGAACAUCCAGGAUCAUUUGAUGCAUCUGAAGCAUUCCCUUCUCAGGACUUCUCUGAAGCCUGCUACAAUGGAGAUCCAUCUUCACUGCGACAUAAUUUUUUGGGCUUCCACAACCAAGACAGAGUUGAGUUUUCAGGGCCUUUGCUGUCUCAGUCUCACAAGGUCGAUGAACUCCUGCAGAAGCACGAACGACAGAUUCGGCAAGCAGUUAGAAGAUCAUGGUUCCAAAGAGGUAUGCCAAGACAUUUUUACAAAUGUUGUCCAAAUCUUUAGAUAAUCCUUAAAAUAGGAAACAACUUAGCAUUAAACCUGAAGCUAAUUAGCCGAAGUUUACUUGUUUCUUAAAGGAAAGCAGUUGUUAUGUGCCUUAUCACGGCAUUUAUUUGAGUUACAGAACUGUGUGCAUUGCACGGCAUUUAUUAAUAUAAUUUUCUCCUAAAUAUUUCAAGUUAAUUUUGGAUAGAGUAGUGCGUUGAGGCAUGACACUCAAUUUAAAAUUUUUUUAUCAGUUUUAAUGUUGUCUGCUGACAUUCAGUGACAGGGAGAAGAAUGAGGAAGUAAACGUUUGUUUGUCAGGAUGAGAAGCAUACAGAAGUAAAAAACAGUUAAUCAACAGAGUUUCCCAAGGAGCAGAUGCAUUUAUAGCGGUGUCUAACUCAUUCAUCUAUUUCUGGUGGCGAUCAAAGAUCUAAGCUCUUCGUUGAAGAAGUUCAAAAGGUGACAUCAAAUAAAUUCCUAACAAUUUAGUUUGGGUACGCUGCAAAAGCCUUGAAUUGGAGCUAUUCCCUUGUAAAGAUGUAGAGCCAUGAAUCCCUUGUAAACAAAUUAUUUUGCAUGCAUUUUCUGAUGUAAAAGAUACAUGUAUGCUGAAAUCCAAUAGUAACAUAAAACAUUCUUUUCA
RNA transcript from Zingiber officinale, 3103 nucleotides. It is a transcript of the gene named protein IMPAIRED IN BABA-INDUCED STERILITY 1-like, with no coding region annotated. The transcript has 9 exons. The record is from RefSeq and is a predicted model, not a curated record. NCBI's taxonomy places the organism in Eukaryota, Viridiplantae, Streptophyta, Magnoliopsida, Zingiberales, Zingiberaceae.